RNAcentral lists this long non-coding RNA (603 nucleotides) under Salmo trutta (river trout). RNAcentral's name for it is "lncRNA (ENSSTUG00000020720.1)". The record is from RNAcentral. Lineage: Eukaryota; Metazoa; Chordata; Actinopteri; Salmoniformes; Salmonidae.
CCCCCAAUGACUGGAUCAAUUGCCUGGAAGGAAUUUGACAUAUGAGACCAAAAGCUGAGAUGUCCACAGAAGAAGCCGGAACGUAUAUGACUAUUUCAAUAGAAAGGGCGAGUUUGGCAGAGAAAUUAUACAAGCCAUGAGUGUUGGAGAAGAUAAGAAAACUGAUGCAUUGCUGAACAGAGAACUAUUUGGAAGAAAUUGAAGAUUUCAAGGACGCACGGAUUUGAAUUUAACUGGAGGGGCUGAGAGCUGAGGGGAAGAGUGACAUAAAGAAGAGAGAAGUUCAUUAUCCAGCUGAAAAGGAAACCAAUGGCUUUCACAGUCUCCAUGGGAACCGGCCUUUCUUUUGCUGUCAAACCUAUGAUAAGAAACCCUCUCCUUUCUCCCGUUCCAAGGCAGCCCUUUUCAAACCGGGAAGCUCCAGGCAGGAUCAGGGAGGCAGGAGCAGCCGUCCCUCUAGUCCCUGUCUCAGCCCAGCCGCUGGGGUCUGCAUGGGGCUGGGAAAGCCACCCCCUCGUCAGUCCUCUCCGCGAACCCAUCCUCAUCCCAGGUUCCCCUCCCCCUGCCUCUGGCCCUGUCGUCUGGGAGCCCCCGAAGGUGUGA